GCCCUUUUAACUCAAGAGUAACGCCAUGGUAAGGCGUAAGUCAUCGGUUCAAAUCCGAUAAGGGGCU
Molecule: transfer RNA, 67 nt
Filed under: Parnassia palustris (bog stars)
Lineage: Eukaryota; Viridiplantae; Streptophyta; Magnoliopsida; Celastrales; Celastraceae
Description: tRNA-Thr
Rfam family: tRNA
About the family: Transfer RNA (tRNA) molecules are approximately 80 nucleotides in length.
Source: RNAcentral